Molecule: ribosomal RNA, 460 nt
Filed under: uncultured bacterium
Lineage: Bacteria
Description: partial 16S ribosomal RNA
Rfam family: Bacterial small subunit ribosomal RNA
Source: RNAcentral
CCUACGGGAGACAGCAGUGAGGAAUAUUGGUCAAUGGACGAGAGUCUGAACCAGCCAAGUAGCAUGAAGGAUGACUGCCCUAUGGGUUGUAAACUUCUUUUAUAUGGGAAUAAAAUGUUCCACGUGUGGGAUUUUGUAUGUACCAUAUGAAUAAGGAUCGGCUAACUCCGUGCCAGCAGCCGCGGUAAUACGGAGGAUCCGAGCGUUAUCCGGAUUUAUUGGGUUUAAAGGGAGCGUAGGUGGAUUGUUAAGUCAGUUGUGAAAGUUUGCGGCUCAACCGUAAAAUUGCAGUUGAAACUGGCAGUCUUGAGUACAGUAGAGGUGGGCGGAAUUCGUGGUGUAGCGGUGAAAUGCUUAGAUAUCACGAAGAACUCCGAUUGCGAAGGCAGUUCACUGGACUGCAACUGACACUGAGGCUCGAAAGUGUGGGUAUCAAACAGGAUUAGAUACCCCAGUAGUC